AUUACAUUUUCACCAAAUAUAUAUCCUUCUAAGAUGUUCAAUCGUUUGUAAGUCAGGCAUAUCUUAUUAUCUUUAUUUUAUCAUUUACGCGAAAACAAACGUCCAAAAUUAUAGUUUGAUAAAUCGAUUUGACAUGUACAUACUUACAUACAUACAUACAUAUGUAUUUAACUGAUCGUUUAAACUUCAGAACACGUUUCUUAGGAAUAAUACAAAUUACCAGGAAUGCUAUCAGAAGAUUAGAUACAAACGGAUGUAGCGAGAUACCAUGUGUUUCCCAUUUUCCGUAAUUUCCUGCUGUAUAGAAUGAAUUGGUGAUUGAGUAAUCGAAAUUGAACACGCUAGACUAAUCUAUCUUCUUCUUGCUCUGCCUACAAUUAACCGUUUCAAGCAACGGAUCAAUGUGUCCAACUAUUGUUACCUGUAUGUACAAACGUUUGCGUUUGUUUUGAAAGCAGAGAAAAAACAUACACGCGAAGAUAUUUGAUCGACUCAAUUGUUUAUUAGAGUAGAAGUGAUUAAUACGAAGAAAAAAAAUUCGUUUCAAUUGUAAGCCCAAUCGAUGGUUCUUUAUAAAUAAGCGAAUUAAUGAAGAGCACGUUAUUGGCAUCAUAAAAAAGAAGUAUUACGAAGGAGCAUGACGCAGAGAGGUCCGUUUUCAGGUUCAUUUUUCAUAUUUAACAAUUGCUUUUGUAAGCGAAAAACGGCCAAGUUACGCUUUUUAGAGGGUUUUUCAUUUUUGGUCGAAAUCGGUAAAAACAUUCUCGUAGAUCCAACCUAAGAGCAGUUCGUCACGCGAACAACAUCGGUUCGUGACUGUACCAACCUCUUAUGUAAGGCUCUUUAUGCGAAUACAUUGUUUAUUUGGGUUAUUGCUUGGUUGCUGUUGUAGGGGCUGAUGUUUUUAGGAAAGCAACCCAGGAGAUGCGCAGUAAAUAUGCGCAGUUGAGCGCGUUAGCGCGGAAAUUGAAUUACCUUUGUGCCAGUGUGACGAUAAAAGCGAGGCCAAAUUGUACCAUCUUGCAAACAGGCUUUCAAUUAAAUGUAGCUACGAACUGCAAUUUAACGCAACAAAAGACCUUAGCAGAGAAGUUUCUGUUGGUUUUUUUUCUAAAUGUCAUGGCUUAUCAAUGAAGUUUUUGUUUUUGUAAUUUGUUGGCUUGAAAGAUGUACUUCAACUAUUCUAGUCAAUAAUACAGUCACCUGUUGAUAAUUUAGAAAUAGUAUUCAAGGUAAAUAUUUUUGUUGUUUUAUUUUGUUUACUAGAAUAUUCCUGAGAAAAUAAUAAUUUUGAAAAUUUAGAUUGCCUUUUAAUUUCAUUCCAAGCAGGUCAAUUUAAAGUUGGCAAGUUUCAUAGGAAGCAUUGACUUUUGCAGGCUAAUGAACCAUUGCAAUGGAGAUUUAAAGUGUCCCAUUAUACCAUUCCCCGAAGCUUUUUGCAAUUCAAACCCGCGUUAGAAGUGUGAACGGAAAGGAAGAGGAGCGGUAAUCGAAAAUGAAAAAAGAAACCGCUAUAGCUGUUUUUUAUGUUUAUUCAGUCGAAUGUUGGACGAAACUAGUUGUAGCAUUGUGAUCAGAAUUUUUAUGGAAAGGCAGCGGCAAAUUCAUGAAUACGUGCUUCCUGUUCAAGAUUUACGGGCAUCACAGAUGCACGCUUCCGCCUACGUUCAAUGAAAGUCUUCAAGACAUUCGCACGCUAUUUAAUCAAGCUAACCCUGCUCUUCAUUCUCAAUAACAAACGCGAUUAUUAAGCUGUUUGUCUCUUUGAUGAUACCGUCUGAAGUCUGCGGGAUGAAACUGGAACAGUGUAUUAGCAGUUGUUAAAACAGAUGUAAAACGUUCUUUGUUAAUUAUUUAUCUCGUUAGAUCUAGAAAUUCUUAAUUUUUAUAUCAUCAGUCGGCAAUGAUUAAUGAAACCCAAAGGUCGAAGUGCAGAGUUACGUUCAGAAAGGGUUUCAAUCCGUGAUAAGUAUAAACGACACGCAUGAAAAUACGGUUAAUCGAAUUUAAAUGAAAUUCAACUAUCGUUAAGGUUUCCCGCAAUAUCGGACACCUCUUCAGCGGCGCUCUUUUUUCAUUAUCAUAACCGUUACAUACUUGUAAUCGUACCGAGACUGACACUGUGCACACGCGAGACGGUCAUUAACAGAGAACAAUUAAAUCAACUAUGCGCAGAAGGUUAUCACGAAUAAUGAUGGCCUUGUUAUCGCAUAGUUGUUCAAAGCAAAGACCCUAAUUGUUUUCACUAUUAAAUAAUUGGCAUGUACGCGUGGAAGCCUCGUCAGGUGUUAAUUAACAUCUUAUCUCGAAAAAUUAUGCUGUAUAAGAAACAAGUAACAUUGUAGUUCUGAAACGAUGCGCGAGAAGACAAACGAAUGUAGGAGAGUAAAGAAAGUGAAGAUGCGCUAAGAAGAAACGUGAAAACAAAUGAAAAACAGGCGGAAGAGAGGAACGGUAAGUCUACUUGGUGUCUGAGCGAGGACGACCCUCGGUGAAAAUGCAAUUUCGGUUCUUGUCUGGAGUCGACGUCGCUACCGUGGUGGCUCCGUACCCCCUUCAAGAUUGUUGAAGACACAGCCUCUCGUGCACACAGAAGUUCUUCUCUCCGACAUGUUCCAGGAGAUGAAAGGCUCCCGUGGCUAUCAAAGGGAAAGGGAAGUAGAGAUCUUAUGCUAGAUUCUUAAAUGAACAGGAAUUUGUAUUGCGCGCUUUGAUAGAACUAUCAUGAGGGUGUGGUUUCUAUUUCAUAAGAUCAGUGACUCUUGUCGUUUUUUUUUUUUUUAAAUAUCCAUUUUAUAUCAUAAUCUAACAAUAGUUAUUUCUACUGUGGCAGUGAACCAGUUCGAGAAUCUACUGCGCUAGGAAGGGGCGAGGAACUAGAAAAAAAAACUAUGAAUUAUUCAGGGAGAAACGCAUCGUCUCUUUUAAACGAUUACGAAACGAAGAAAGAAGGCGGUUCUAAAUUUGUAUCGGUUCAGUUUGCAUCCUCGUUCGCGAGGUGAACGCUCUGGCCAGCGACAUCUCAUUGAAGGAGCCUUCUUCGGCAACGAGAACCGGAACAAGGUGCCCGAUGAAUUUUCUACGAGCUCCUCGUGCACGUUGCCAAUGAUUCAGCGUUCUUGAUCGACUGCCACGAGUGCGACUGAGAGAGACAUCGAUAGGAAUGCGGUUGCAAAAGGCUAAAAAUAUCUACACUUCUUCAAAUCGAACAAUUUACCUGAGGUCGAUUGCUUGUAUAUUUCUCGGAAAGCAAUUAACAGUCUUACGAAAUCCAGUCGCGUAUUCGAUGGUUCAAGUAUAGGCGCGAACCAGACAUAAUAAGGCAUUUGUAUGUCCAUCGUGAAUUUGAUAGCAAAGGUCUCGUCCUCUCUUAGGUAUCGAAGCGUACACGUUUUAAAUUGAUUGAUCGAUUUAAAACACGUGUAUAUACUUACUGGCUCUUACACGUCAUAAGGAGAGAAAUACAGUCGUCGAAUUCAGCCGAUAGAAAUGCUAUCGUAAAUCCGCGUCAAGAUCAUGGCUGACGUCAUCCUCUGACGCACCAUCAUCUGACCUCAUAGUCUGCAUUGUCUAACGAACAGUUUGUAUUAGAUUUUCUACUAGUUGUGAUCGUUUGAUUAUCAACAUAUCAGACUCUAAAAGCCUGUAUUUAUUCAUUUUCAUAAUUAUUAGACGAACAUGAUUAUAUUAUACAGUUAUAAUAAAGCUUCAAGACGUGCUGCCACCUACGCGGUACUCGACGUUGCUGGUAAGGUAGAGUCCUACGCGUGACGGUGAACGAUGACCCGGUACCACAUGAAAAUAAACAGAACAUCUCGUGUUUACGAACUCUGUAACAGGUGUUUUUGUUUCUCUGGAGGGGAGUUCGGACUUCUGUGCAUCAGAGACUUUUUUCUUGGAUUUCAGACGCUGGUCGUUCGCUGCCAAAAUUGCAUUCAACGAAUUGCAGCACUGAAAAUGGAUUUGCAUAAAACGUCGAAGCAAAAGGAGACAGGUGUGCUUCGUAGAAGUAAUACGAAGAUAAUGUUCAACCGUAAGAAGAAAUAGCCUUUGCAAGUAAAAGAGUGUGAGUGAUCACGUCCUGUACUUUCCUAAGCACCUGCAGACCCAGAACGGAUCCGGCAGGUGCAAGAAGGAUACGAGGAACCUCGAAGAAUUUUAUGUUAACUUCGAUGAAAUACAGACGUAUUUUCCGUUGAAUUAUCGACGCGAAAUGUAGACUCUGGUCGGUUUCCAUGCUGCAGAGAAACGCAGCAAUAAGGAGAGAUAAUAUAGUUGACUUCUACUCGGAGAGGUCGGGUAGAUAAGAGAAGAGUGAACCCGCAAAAUUGACUUUCAUAAUUACCGACCGAGACUAGAACAGUAGUAUUCAAGGUAGUAUUCGGCCGAUCUACGGGACCGUAGAUCACUCGGAUACGAUAAAGUUUGCAAUUAGUACGCAAAGAGAAAUGACCUGAUUCAUUUGAUUGGGAAUUCAGCGAUAAUAAGAUGGAUCUUACACACCAAGAUAUAAUUAAUCAACGAUGCUACAAUUACUCGUGGAGGAUAUUUCAAUUAUAAUAAAUUGAAAGUUGAAAUUUAACGAAAUACAAGAUCGAGAAUAAGGGAAUGCAAGAGUACAAGUUAACACGACACUGUGUGUAUAUUGAGAGCAUGAAUCGAUAGUGGUUCGCAUCCAGCGUUGCGUAAAAUGACGUCAAUUGGUGCGUAACAAUUAUCUGAAAAGACCGGAAGACCGUAACCGAGAUCAUCCUCGAAGAUUCACACAAUUAAGAUCUGUCUCCUAUCUUUUUCCAGGUUUGAAGACACAGGAGAAAACUCGAUAUGCGAGGAAGCGUCAAGUCCGUCCGGGAAGUACAAAGACCAGGAAGCGGGGCGACGAUGAAUUAUAGAGGGCCAGCAAACGGAGCACGUCGCUACUCUAGCACCAGGUCGAUAUCCACUCUGGACUUGACGAUGUGUACCAGGAAUCGAUAACGCCAUGAAUUAUCAACGUUUCUCUUCCACUGGAACAUCCUGUCCCAUUUUCUAAAUGACAAGAACAGAUUCAAAAUUUCAAAAUUCACUUAGGAGCUCCGACAUAAUAAAUCAUAGCUACGUUCGUGGCAUGAAUUUUCCAACAGAAGCAUUCAACUCCUUGUAAAGCUUCCUCCUAGUCGAUAAUUACAAUACAGGCAUUUUCAAUACCCCAUAAAAAGUUUGUUAAAAAUACAUUUAACCAGAUAUACUCUGAAGAAUGAAUAGCUAGAUUCAAUGAACUUUAAAGUCUGAUAAAAUAUUUACAAUUUUCACUAAUCCUUAUCAAAGAUCAAAGCAUUUAUUACUUAUAAUUACUACUUCUUUAAAAAAUCAUGUCGUUACAAUUAAUUGCAUUGAUAACUUCAAUAUUAUCUUCAUUCAAUUACGCAAUACAUUCUUGCCAGUUCAAAAGCCUUUUUCUCCUAAAUAGUACACCUGUUAUCAGCGAUAAGAAAAACGUAAAAAUUAUGUAAGAAUAGUAUGUAAUCGCAGUGGCGUUACGAUAAGAAAAAUUCAUUGUCAUUGUCAAAGAGAGGAGGAGAGAUUUAUCCGGUAGUAUGGACCAGAGGAGAGUAUCGAUACGUUGUAACUGGCCGAGACGAGGAAGGAGCAAAAGCAAAGCAAGAGACGAACCAUCGCGUGCACGUGUGCACUUCACGUGACACACAUACGUCUCCACGUAGGUGUACACGCGUAUGUAGUAUCGAAUAAAUGCGUAUACGUGUAUGUAUAUGUACACCAUUGACCGGGAUAUCGUCUGUCUCGGGAUGAAUGAACUAUUACGUCACGCACUUGUACUCUCUGAUCCCCUUCCGGACUCCUCUCCUCCUUUCCUCUCCUGUAUGUUUCUCCUCAUCCGUCGAUUCUGUCUCCGUCUCUCUUUUCCCCGGCCUCUCCUCGUGCUCGCAUUAUAUUAUGUGCAGCAUACCUUCCUCCUUCCUUUCAUCGAUUAGCGGUGGAAUUCCAGGCCGUGGAGGGAGACGAUGGAGGUCAACGUAUCGCGGUGGCUCAGACACCCGGCAGACGUGUCUGUCCGUCCGUCCGUACGUCCGUCUGUCCGUCUGUCUGUGGCUGCUGUAAAACGCCGUGGGACGAAGGACGCGGGGAUGGAGAGACGGUGGCGGUGAAUCGCUUUCGUUUCGUACCACUGAUACACUUUUGCGCUGCCUCUUGUAUACCUAUCUUCGGCCGCAGGUGGCAUUCUUCUUCAUCCUUUUCUAUCGCGCAUCAUCUUCACUUGCGUUCUUCUUCAUCAUA
Molecule: RNA transcript, 6276 nt
Organism: Osmia bicornis bicornis
Lineage: Eukaryota; Metazoa; Arthropoda; Insecta; Hymenoptera; Megachilidae
Gene: Rpb5
Gene name: DNA-directed RNA polymerases I, II, and III subunit RPABC1
Exons: 13
Source: RefSeq, a predicted model, not a curated record